CAAGUGUUGAGUCUUCAUUGUUGUGUGUUUUAAUGUAUUGAGACUGAACCUGAAGCUGCAAGCAAAGCCUGAAUACCUGAGAACUUUCAGAGAAACAGCCCCGGAAAUAAAACUCACAACGGAAAGCAAAGGUGGACAUUGACAUGAAGAACAGACAAGUUUCCCAUGAAAAUCAGCUGAAAGUGAGAAAAGACGUUCUACUUACUUGAAGAAAAACCACAUGAAGAGAGCAGCAGUGCCUCCUGAACUGAUCUCAUCAAAUCUACUCGUCCAUCCAUGCUCUCGUGUAAAUUUGGCUGACGAAGUGGCCACGAGCCAAAGUACUGCAGCUGCUCAGCAAAACAUGGAAAACUUGGAUCAUGUGAUGGUCCCAUUGGCAGCUUCUGAAAGUGAUUCAGGCGUUUUACUUUUUGUUAAUGAUUACAUCGCUGGUGAAUGAACUCAAAUUCCUUCAGUAUCACUGGCUGGACCUUCACCCUGCAGCAAGCCUGAAAUGCCAAUCAAACAAGCUGCUACCUUAAGGUGGAGGUAGAGUUAAUAUAGUCAAAACAUUUGUGCUUCAUCUUUUUUGGCUCUAAAUGGGACCAAAAUUUACAAAAAUAAUAUUGUGCUGUAUUUAGUACAACUUUAAACUGGUUAAGAAAACCAAAACCUGGCCAGGAAAGGAUUUGAGGGCACAGAAUGUGGAAGCAACCAGCCACACAAAUCACCCCCAGUGGGCCAUUAGAAGGAACACCAGAUUCAAGCACUACUUCACCAGCUUCACUUUCCAGACCUACAUCUUACCACCUGGAAGUAGAGGAAGAAAAAAAGAGAAAAAAUUGAUUCAGUCUCCACUUUUGUCAUGUUAAAACUGAAACGCCUAAAGGAUCAAAUUUCAAGUGAUCAGAAUAGUUAAAAACAAAAAACAACAGUUCUGAUUUUGGCAGCUGCUUUUAUUAAAAAUGAUGUAAAAAAAACAAGAAAAGGAAGUUCGUUCAGCGUUUCUUCAGUUAGACGUCAGUCACAAUGAAACUCGAUGUACAGUCAUUACAAACAUUGGUUACCUUCACACAACCACAGGCUAGUUUCAGACAUGAACGCUGUAUAAAACACCUGCUACUGAAAAACCACAAGACUUCUGAAGGAUUAUUUUCAGUCCCUGCCUGGUGACAACAUGACCAGUGAAAUUUGAAACAGGAAGUACAAGUUCUCUUCCACUUAUCCUUAUCAGAGCGUGGAGCCUAUCCCAGCUACCACAGAAAGGUCGCAAACCUGACACAUCGCUGACACAGAGAACAAUUGACAUUCACAGCUAUGGCUAUGGCUAGGAGGAGGAGUUGGCCGUCCGACUGGGGUCUGGAAUGUGGGGCCUCCCUGCUGCUCCCACCGCAGGGAAAAGGGUAACACCACCUGGGUCUGGGCGCAGUUUCCCCCUCCAGGGGCAAGGGUACCUAGACCCGGGGCUUAGAGUACGCUUGGGGAGUGUGAUUGUGUGUACAGUGUCUCUCUAUGUCUGUCUCCACGUUGGGUGAGUGUGGAGUAAUUGCAUUUGAGAGCAUGAGGGUGGGAAUGGAUGUUUGUAUCUGUGUGUGCCUGUUUGUCUGUGUCUAUAUGUCAGGUUGGGUAUCAGACGCCACCUCUCUGGGGACAUCUCAGGCCAUCCAAGGUUUGGAGGCCCAUCUCCCCCCACCACUUCCCCUGCCGGUGGUGGACACCCUCAGACAUCGGUGCAUUGGUGGUUCUUUGUGUCCGGGGGUGGGCGCCCAGGUACCCACCGGCUCACUCCUUGGCGGCUGCUUAUCGGGGCCUGGAGCCUGGGGCUCGCUUGGGCCACUUCGGGGAUGGGGUGCCCUCGGCCUCUCGGCCCGGGGCUCGGUCACUCAGGCACAGCUGGCUGCCGGGCGGAGCUCAUGGGCACGUCACUGCAAC
Oreochromis aureus is the source of this 1911-nucleotide long non-coding RNA. NCBI's taxonomy places the organism in Eukaryota, Metazoa, Chordata, Actinopteri, Cichliformes, Cichlidae. The record is from Ensembl.